Long non-coding RNA from Venturia canescens, 4655 nucleotides. RefSeq lists it as uncharacterized. NCBI's taxonomy places the organism in Eukaryota, Metazoa, Arthropoda, Insecta, Hymenoptera, Ichneumonidae. The transcript has 3 exons. The record is from RefSeq and is a predicted model, not a curated record.
CCCAUAAAAUACGAUCCUUCGGGCAUGAUCUACCUUAAUUUGAUGACUUUUAGUUGAUUUAUAUUAAUUUUAUUUCAUACGAAAACCGUGCGAAGAAUUAAAGCUCGCGUGUUGUGAAUUUUCUUUCCAUCUUUCCACUUUGAUUAUUAUUUGCAUGCGAAUGCAACAUUCAGCGAAAAGGUCUUUUAAACAUAACGUGAUUUAGGUACAGCGCAGAGCUCGCGUUGUGGUUUUCCCCCGAGCCAAACAAUAAUGCGCGUGUGAUGCUGGCACACAAAUCCUGUAACCGAACCGUUUAAUCGUAUUUACCAGAAAGCAGCGAAACCCUGUUAUACUAACUCGAUGUAAUAUUUAUAGAGAACCGUGAUAUUCGACGCAGCAUUACAUCACUUUGUAAAUAUAAGUUGUCCUUAAAGAUCCGCGAAGAUAGUUUGUUGCCAGAGAGUACGAAAUUCUGUGUCGAAAAGUAUUUAAAAGUUUAUUGAUCCGAGAACUCCCUGAUGAGUUAUCAGCGAUUGAAAGCUCGACCAAUCGGAGACGCGCAGAAGUUGGCGUCGGUGGGCGGGGCGAUGCUUCUGAUUGGUUCCAUUUCGAAGUUGAAUAUUUCCAGAAGUAUUGGUCGGACAAAAAAACUCCCAAAGACUUUUCGGCUCAGAAUUCUAUUCCGCAUCCGAAGAGUGACAACUCAUUACGAUUUUAAGGACACCCUAUACCUGGGUGCAAGUACACUUCUGUUUCCUACGAUACGCGAAUGCAUCGAAUUAGAAUUUAAUAACGAGUAACAUGUAACUGAAGCUCGAGAGGUUGCUAAUUAUUCCUGAAAAUUAUCCAGGUGUACACAGAACUGAAUUUAGCAAAACGAAAAUCGAGAGAAUUGUUUAUUUAGUAAAUUAAUGUAUUCGCACAUAACAAACGGGUCGACGAUUCGCAUGACAAUUUCGGCGAACUGCAUUCAUACUUGCAUCAAUAACGAACCAUUUUCCACCGGAACAACCCGAAAUUUGCAGAUGGAAUAGCGAUUCAAAAAUUUUUCAAUAAUUCCAUCUAUUCGAAUAACAAUUUUGAUCUUCGCAUGGAAAUAAAUUCCAGCGAAAGCGUAAACAACCAGCACGAACAAAUCCUCGACUAUUUUCAUUAGUCCAAGCAACUGAAUCGCCUGUAAUUACACACAAAAACUUUUCUCUCCCCAACUCCCAUAAGCCUAACAUAUUAGAACGACGAUCCACAGGAAUGUGAUCUCCGGUACGUAUGUAAACAGACAGAUUAAAAUAUAAUUCUGCACUGAUGAGGAAAUUCCUCUUGAAACUGAAUCUUACCACUAACCACUAUUUAAUUCCUCGUGUUAUUUGAUACAUCAUUUUUUUUCAACUCAAGCCCUCUUGAUACUCGAGACUAAAUACAAAUCCACACAAAAUAUUAAAAUUACGAUGACGAAGAGUGACGUUCCUGUAUCUGGAACAAGACUAUUUAUCCAAGCUCAAAGAAACAUUGUUCGAUAAUGAAAUAUAAAUAAAUUGUGAACCAAAAAAUUUCAGAGUUGAUCGCAACUGCUGAGAUUGUCGUGAAAAAUAACACGAAAAGAUCUUCCUUCGAAACUGAAUGAUUAAAGCCUUUUCUGAAAAAAUAAUUUUUCCAACAACUUGGCCAAGUUCUGUAUACAAAUACAUAAUUUAUAACCGUUGAACAUAUACAGUUAUUAUUUCGUCGAGACUCUUGUCGUAUGGCAAUUGAGGAUGAUGAAUAAGCGACGCUCUUGAAACACUUGUCAUUAAAACAACACAUGAAAUCUACUCUGUACUGCUUGAGUAUGUACAGGGUGUCUCCAAAGUGGGGGAAGGAGACUUUUACAGAAAAAAUUAAGCGUGGGUUAUCGCAAAGUAAUAUUGGUCGAAAUGGAAAUAAAAAAGUGGCUAUUUUUCGUGAAUCGCUCGUUUGUUCUGCUCUGCGGAAGAAUGGGCCGAAAAUUUCGAGAUUCCCUGAAAACAGAGCCGCACACAUUCGUGUUUAGAAGCAUGACGCCGAAUGAUCUUCGCGACCAACGGAAUUUCCGAGAUUGUGGAAGCGUCGCAGGCGUUUUCAACCGCUUGACUGGUGUGCAGACGAAAUAUUAAGGUACGAGACUUCCUCAUCGACAAUAGGCCUCGUUUACGGGUUAAUGAAUUCUCCAAAAAGCGUCAUAAAGGCUUCCAAUCGGUUGACACUUCAGAGACUCGGUUCGGUCAAUGUCACACGGACUGUCUCAUUUUCCACGUACAGACCGGUCGAUAACACGGAGAAUUCGCGUCGUAGAAUUGAUCGAGCAAUCCAAGAAACGCUUCAACUGCAUGCUCAGUAUUUCUACGGAUACUUCAAAUACAGUGUGUCCCAAAAGUCACGGUAAACUUAAUUCGAGGCUGAUCGUCCAUUUUUUGAAAGUUUAUCCUUCUGCUUGAGAUGUUGAGAAAAAAAAGUUGCUCAUUCACCAAAAUGCUUUUUCGUUGUAUCAAAAAACGAUGAAUUCAACUGUUUUUUUUUUUUUUUUUUGAGAAAUUAUUUAUCGUUUGGAAAAAAUAUAAUCGAAUCCAUUGUUUUCGUCUUUCUAAAUGGAUUUUGCUCGAUGAACAAAAUUUUCUGCAGUGUCCAAUCCGACGAAUUGACAAUUAUUGUUUAAUCGGUAUUUCGUUAAGGGGGGUCCUGCUUUAGAAAGUUAAAAAAAUCGAUUGUUUCCGAGAAUGUUUUUGGAUAGACGGAAAUAACUCACGAUAGCGAACUUUUGAUAUUUCAAAAGCACAAAAACGCUUUUUCAUGUGAGAAAUACUAAUUUGUAUAUCGUUUAUGCGCAAAGUCUGUUAAAGUUUCUCAGCUGCAUAGAAUGUGGAGAUCGGAAUUAUUGUCUGGAACGAAAAUUCCAAGUUCUUUUCCCAUUUUCAUAUAUUUUCCUUCCAUAUGAACCUAUGAAAACCCGAAAAAAUUGCGAAGUUCUAUAUUUUUAACGAGUUUGAAAAAAACCUCGUGAAAUAUCCUUGAAACUGUAUCGAAAAGUUUGCUAUGGUGAGGUAUUCCCGUUUAUCCAAAAAAAUUCCCGAAAACAAUCGAUUUUUUUGACUCCCUUAAGCAGGACCCCCAUAAAACUGUGUGUUGUAAAUGGAAAUGGCUAAUGACUUAUAUUUUCAGAUUUUCCCAACACAUUCGCCCAAAAAUCGACAGGUUUGAACUGCCAGACACACUGUAUGCGUCGCAGGCGAAAAUAACUCGCGUGUUUAUGAACGAAUUAUUCGUUCUCGCAUUCGGUAGCGCAUUCGUUUAAAGAGAUCGCGUUUUCUCUCUCCCUCUUUUCCUGUGUGUCUGUGCCAUUAUUUUUCUCUUUUUUCUCUCCAUCUCCCUCUAGUGAGCGUCUCUUUAUCCUCGAGCCUACAAAAGCAACGUUAACACGCGAUUACGUAAAAUUUACGCACGACACUCGUUACCACUUUUCUCCCUCCUUUUGCCUUCUCACUUGCGGUUUUGUCGCGUUGCGUAAGCGCUGUUCAACACUAUCGAACUUCAGUGACUUUUCGCUCGCUCUAUGGCUCACCAAUACCGAUUAAUCGAUCAUCGAUAAUGUGGAAUUUCAUCGAAUUCACAUUCCCAGCAACGCUUUCGUCCCGCCGAUGAAAAAUUCUUCGAUUCAUUAUUUUUAGCAUAUAUUUUCCUCGAUAUUCGAUCAAAUUCUUUUGCAGUUUAACCGAAAAAUAUUUUCCAGAGCCUCACGAUGCAUGGAUUUUCGAUGGGUUUCUUCCCUCGACUUCGUUUUCCUGAUUUUAUUGUUCAAUUAAAUUUCAAUUGUAAAUUAAUUAAUACACUUCGGUCGUAAUUGGACUAUCAAAAUGAGGAGGGCAUUCCACCGAGUCUCGAGCAAUCAAGCUCUGGUCAUUAGCAGACCUUAGACGGAAGCUCAUUCGCUUCACUUUGAUGCAAUACUGCAGCUCUCUGCGUUGACACCCUGUUGUGACUGAUUACGAUCGUUCAAUAUCUUCCGGAAAUACAACGGAGCACCAUAUAACAUCGUGCUUUGCAAUCCGACAGCGAAUUUAAGUGAAUGGAAUCGGAAAGUGUACGGGAAUAUGGGACAUUCCGAUCGCGGGGUUUUCCAGAUCCGCACCCAAAAUCCAAGAAGACAGAUUCGUUGAAUUCUCACCGACAACUUCAAAUCGAACUAAAUCGUAACGUUUUUGCCUUGUUCGAUUGAGAACAGCCUGUAAAUUUGGUUACAAUGACAGUGUGAGGGUGGAUCGCAUCGUUGGCAACGCACAGAGCAUCGGUGCCGCGUACAGUUUGAGUAAUUGUAAUUGAGCAUUGCUCUUGGUAAUCCGAAUACGUACUGUAUAAACCGGAGAACACUGUCCCCGACUAUGUAUAAUAUUCACAACGGAGAACAGCCCGACCUGCUACGUGCACAAAACAAUUGACGUGUCUCCAGGAAUCAUCCGAAUGGAUCAAUGAGCGAGUGGCUUUGAACUCAUUUCCGGAUUAUACGAUGAAUUAUUGGCGUUGUAAAAAUCGUCGUUAAAGUAGUUCACUCGUUUUAUGACUAGUCAAGUUUGCAACUACUUUAUGUUGAUUUAUUUCAAGUCUAAAUUAUUAAUAAUAUUAAUAAACACUUACAUUGAUAAUAUUUUUAUGAUAAGAAUGUAAUA